CUGGCCUAGGAGGCUGACAUCCUCUGUUAAACCACAGAACAGCACAGCACAGGCAGCAGCAGGGCAAGCGUCCCCCACAUGGCCUCUGUGGUUGUGAUGAGCUGUGAACUGAAGGGACUGCCUCUAGGGAUGAGAUGUGAUUUAUCCACAUGGUCCAAUUGGGGGUUUCU
RNAcentral lists this small RNA (170 nucleotides) under Chelonoidis abingdonii (Abingdon island giant tortoise). RNAcentral describes it as "TUC338 (ENSCABG00000014865.1)". Lineage: Eukaryota; Metazoa; Chordata; Testudines; Testudinidae. The record is from RNAcentral.